CUUCUCUAGCAAUCUCUCGUCUCCUCCUCUCUCACCAUCUCUUCAAUCCUCAUCUCACGAUCUCUCAAACUUGCUGUCUGUCGUCACGGAUUUAAGCUCACCACCUCUGCUCAAGUCUGGAAACCAUGACCCCUCGCCUCCUCCCCUUGGUCUAUCUCUACUUAAGCGUUCAUCUUCUUUUCAUUUUUUUUUAAAUAAAAUCUAUUGCUUUUGUUUACAGAUCUGGAAUAAUGAUGACAUAGAGGAGGUAAUGGUGAUCCAGAGACAGAGGCGGCGGCCGAC
Molecule: long non-coding RNA, 282 nt
Filed under: Brassica napus (rape)
Lineage: Eukaryota; Viridiplantae; Streptophyta; Magnoliopsida; Brassicales; Brassicaceae
Description: long non-coding RNA (BNAP_LNC013456)
Source: RNAcentral